GCCAGGCUUGGUGGUGUGUGCCUGUAGUCUCAGCUACUCGCGAGGCUGAGGUGGGAGGAUCGCUUGAGCCCAGGAGUUCUGGGCUGUAGUGCGCCAUGCCGAUCGGGUGUCCGCAUUAACUUCGGCAUCAAUAUGGUGACCUCCCAGGAGCGGGGGACCACCAGGUUGCCUAAGGAGGGGUGAACUGGCCCAGGUCGGAAACGGAGCAGGUCAAAACUCCCGUGCUGAUCAGUAGUGGGAUCGUGCCUGUGAAUAGCCACUGCACUCCAGCCUGGGCAACAUAGCGAGACCCCUUCUCU
Molecule: signal recognition particle RNA, 299 nt
Filed under: Aotus nancymaae (Ma's night monkey)
Lineage: Eukaryota; Metazoa; Chordata; Mammalia; Primates; Aotidae
Description: Metazoan signal recognition particle RNA (ENSANAG00000004719.1)
Rfam family: Metazoan signal recognition particle RNA
About the family: The signal recognition particle (SRP) is a universally conserved ribonucleoprotein. It is involved in the co-translational targeting of proteins to membranes.
Source: RNAcentral